RNAcentral lists this ribosomal RNA (253 nucleotides) under uncultured bacterium. RNAcentral describes it as "partial 16S ribosomal RNA". It matches the Rfam family "Bacterial small subunit ribosomal RNA", at positions 524 to 776 of the family's 1533-position model. The record is from RNAcentral.
UACGGAGGGUGCAAGCGUUAUCCGGAUUCACUGGGUUUAAAGGGUGUGUAGGCGGGUAUUUAAGUCAGUGGUGAAAUCUCCGGGCUCAACCCGGAAACUGCCAUUGAUACUAUUUAUCUUGAAUUCUGUUGAGGUAGGCGGAAUAUAUCAUGUAGCGGUGAAAUGCUUAGAUAUGAUAUAGAACACCGAUUGCGAAGGCAGCUUACUAAACAGAUAUUGACGCUGAGGCACGAAAGCGUGGGGAUCAAACAGG